This 29-nucleotide small RNA is filed under the name Bombyx mori (domestic silkworm). RNAcentral's name for it is "ovarian small RNA-10947". Lineage: Eukaryota; Metazoa; Arthropoda; Insecta; Lepidoptera; Bombycidae. The record is from RNAcentral.
ACAAGGCGGGACAUUGUACUUGGCGACAC